This 625-nucleotide ribosomal RNA is filed under the name Cryptosporidium meleagridis. RNAcentral describes it as "SSU rRNA". It matches the Rfam family "Eukaryotic small subunit ribosomal RNA", at positions 366 to 1028 of the family's 1831-position model. Lineage: Eukaryota; Apicomplexa; Conoidasida; Eucoccidiorida; Cryptosporidiidae. The record is from RNAcentral.
GGGGAAUUAGGGUUCGAUUCCGGAGAGGGAGCCUGAGAAACGGCUACCACAUCUAAGGAAGGCAGCAGGYGCGCAAGAUUACCCAAUCCUAAUACAGGGAGGUAGUGACAAGAAAUAACAAUACAGGACUUUUUGGUUUUGUAAUUGGAAUGAGUUAAGUAUAAACCCCUUUACAAGUAUCAAUUGGAGGGCAAGUCUGGUGCCAGCAGCCGCGGUAAUUCCAGCUCCAAUAGCGUAUAUUAAAGUUGUUGCAGUUAAAAAGCUCGUAGUUGGAUUUCUGUUAAUAAUUUAUAUAUAAUAUUUGAUUAAUAUUUAUAUAAUAUUAACAUAAUUCAUAUUACUAAAUUUAUUAGUAUAUGAAAUUUUACUUUGAGAAAAUUAGAGUGCUUAAAGCAGGCAUAUGCCUUGAAUACUCCAGCAUGGAAUAAUAUUAAAGAUUUUUAUCUUUCUUAUUGGUUCUAAGAUAAAAAUAAUGAUUAAUAGGGACAGUUGGGGGCAUUUGUAUUUAACAGUCAGAGGUGAAAUUCUUAGAUUUGUUAAAGACAAACUAAUGCGAAAGCAUUUGCCAAGGAUGUUUUCAUUAAUCAAGAACGAAAGUUAGGGGAUCGAAGACGAUCAGAUACCG